UGAGGAAUAUUGGUCAAUGGGCGAGAGCCUGAACCAGCCAAGUAGCGUGCAGGAUGACGGCCCUAUGGGUUGUAAACUGCUUUUAUGUGGGGAUAAAGUGAGCUACGUGUAGUUUAUUGCAGGUACCACAUGAAUAAGGACCGGCUAAUUCCGUGCCAGCAGCCGCGGUAAUACGGAAGGUCCAGGCGUUAUCCGGAUUUAUUGGGUUUAAAGGGAGCGUAGGCCGUGGAUUAAGCGUGUUGUGAAAUGUAGACGCUCAACGUCUGAAUUGCAGCGCGAACUGGUUCACUUGAGUAUGCACAACGUAGGCGGAAUUCGUCGUGUAGCGGUGAAAUGCUUAGAUAUGACGAAGAACUCCGAUUGCGAAGGCAGCUUACGGGAGCACAACUGACGCUGAAGCUCGAAGGUGCGGGUAUCAAACAGGAUUAGAUACCCUGGUAGUCCGCACAGUAAACGAUGGGUGCCCGUUGUUAGUUCACUUAAGAAUUAGCGACCAAGCGAAAGCAUUAAGCAUCCCACCUGGGGAGUACGCCGGCGGU
This 539-nucleotide ribosomal RNA is filed under the name uncultured bacterium. RNAcentral describes it as "bacterial SSU rRNA". It matches the Rfam family "Bacterial small subunit ribosomal RNA", at positions 355 to 895 of the family's 1533-position model. The record is from RNAcentral.